AGUGAACGCUGGCGGUAGGCCUAACACAUGCAAGUCGAACGGCAGCACAGUAAGAGCUUGCUCUUCCGGGUUGCGAGUGGCGUACGGGUGAGGAAUACAUCGGAAUCUACUUUUUCGUGGGGGAUCACGUAGGGAAACUUACGCUAAUACCGCAUACGACCUACGGGUGAAAGCAGGGGAUCUUUGGACCUCGCGCGAUUGAAUGAGCCGAUGUUGGAUUAGUUAGUUGGCGGGGUAAAGGCCCACCAAGGCGACGAUACGUAGCUGGUCUGAGAGGAGGAUAAGCCACACUGGAACGGGAACGCGGUCCAGACUCCUACGGGAGGCAGCAGUGGGGAAUAUUAGACAAUGGGCGCAAGCCUGAUCCAGCCGUACCGCGUGGGUGAAGAAGGCCUUCGGGUUGUAAAGCCCUUUUUUUGGGAAAGAAAAGCAGCAGGUUAAUACCCCGCUGUUCUGACGGUACCCAAAGAAUAAGCACCGGCUAACUUCGUG
RNAcentral lists this ribosomal RNA (492 nucleotides) under uncultured bacterium. RNAcentral describes it as "partial 16S ribosomal RNA". It matches the Rfam family "Bacterial small subunit ribosomal RNA", at positions 29 to 507 of the family's 1533-position model. The record is from RNAcentral.